Long non-coding RNA from Phyllostomus hastatus (greater spear-nosed bat), 264 nucleotides. RefSeq lists it as uncharacterized. The transcript has 3 exons. The record is from RefSeq and is a predicted model, not a curated record. NCBI's taxonomy places the organism in Eukaryota, Metazoa, Chordata, Mammalia, Chiroptera, Phyllostomidae.
GGAGAGAAGCUGGAUUUUUUGCUUUUUGAUGAUCUCUCAGAGGUAACUAUGUGCCUGCUAACUGCUGCAAAAGGAAAAUCGCCUGACUUGGGCUAUGUUCCUGAUUUUCUACAGACUGCCAUGGCUCCAUACAAAAAGGACAUUCAUAAAAAAGACCUGCAUGUGAUCAGCAAUGCUGGGGGCACCAACCCUCUCGUGUGUGCUGCCGCCCUUGACGAGAUGGCCAGGAAGGCUGGCGUCGACCUGAACAUAGCAGUGGUCACU